Molecule: long non-coding RNA, 687 nt
Organism: Oncorhynchus tshawytscha (Chinook salmon)
Lineage: Eukaryota; Metazoa; Chordata; Actinopteri; Salmoniformes; Salmonidae
Source: Ensembl
AGAGACAGAAUAGCAGGGGGAGAGAAUAGCAGGGGGAGAGAAUAGCAGAGAGUGAGAGAAUAGCAGGGGGAGAGAAUAGCAGAGAGUGAGAGAAUAGCAGGGGGAGAGAAUAGCAGAGAGUGAGAGAAUAGCAGGGGGAGAGAAUAGCAGGGGGAGAGAAUAGCAGAGAGGGAGAGAAUAGCAGAGAGGGAGAGAAUAGCAGGGGGAGAGAAUAGCAGAGAGUGAGAUAAUAGCAGGGGGAGAGAAUAGCAGGGGGAGAGAAUAGCAGAGAGUGAGAUAAUAGCAGGGGAGAGAAUAGCAGAGAGUGAGAUAAUAGCAGGGGGAGAGAAUAGCAGGGGGAGAGAAUAGCAGAGAGUGAGAUAAUAGCAGGGGGAGAGAAUAGCAGGGGGAGAGAAUAGCAGAGAGUGAGAGAAUAGCAGAGAGGGAGGGAAUAGCAGAGAGGGAGGGAAUAGCAGAGAGCGAGGGAAUAGCAGAGAGGGAGGGAAUAGCAGAGAGGGAGGGAAUAGCAGAGAGUCAGAGGAUAGCAGAGAGUGAGAGGAUAGCAGAGAGUGAGAGGAUAGCAGAGAGUGAGAGAAUAGCAGAGGGAGAGAAUAGCAGAGAGUGAGAGAAUAGCAGAGAGUGAGAGAAUAGCAGAGAGGGAAGGAAUAGCAGAGAGCGAGGGAAUAGCAGAGAGGGAGGGAAUAGCAG